Molecule: transfer RNA, 65 nt
Filed under: Fucellia costalis
Lineage: Eukaryota; Metazoa; Arthropoda; Insecta; Diptera; Anthomyiidae
Description: tRNA-Asn
Source: RNAcentral
UUAAUUGAAGCCAAAAAGAGGCUUAUCACUGUUAAUGAUAGAAAUGAGUUCGUACUCCAAUUAAA